Molecule: long non-coding RNA, 620 nt
Organism: Gopherus evgoodei (Goodes thornscrub tortoise)
Lineage: Eukaryota; Metazoa; Chordata; Testudines; Testudinidae
Exons: 3
Source: RefSeq, a predicted model, not a curated record
AAGAUGCACAGUGCCUUGUGUUAGAAUGCUUACAAACCCAAAUCAUACCUAGAAAAUCAAAAUGGGCUGAGAUGCAAAUGAAAGAGUUAGUUAAUUGAGAUAAUUUUUAUAACAACACCAUCUUAAUUUGAUCACUUUCUUGUUUUGUUUUGCAGCAAAGGAGGUGGAUCUCUAGGUGUGAUUUGAAAGACAACCAUUUAGACCAGGAAAUGAAGAAAAUCCAGAUUCAAAAGAAACUACUGAGGCCAUCUGGGAGGGCUUUGCCUGGAAACAAAAUGCCAGCACCCUCCAGCACCAACUCCUCCUACCGCAGGGAUAGGGUCUAACUAAUCGAAGACUGUACGGUCAAGUGGAUGAUGGAACACAGUAUAAAAAGACCCUUGUGUCCUGAUCCUGUUUAUCUCAGAUCUGCUUAAGCUUCAUCAGGGGAAGUCUGAGUUGCAAGAUGAGAUCCCAGUUAAGCUGGUACACCCUGGAUAUGAUAUUGGACACUGGGCUAUAACCUAUUAACAAAAUUCUAAAGAAACUCUUUGUAAUUACAAAGUUCACCAUCUCUUCUAUGUAUCCGAACCUAAAGAAUUGAACUCAUGUCUGUAUGUAUAUUGAUCUUUUAACCUAUA